GGUAAUAUACUUUAAUAAAAAGAUUGGGUUUGCGUCUCAAAAUUGGGAAUUUUUCCCUUUUACCA
RNAcentral lists this transfer RNA (65 nucleotides) under Xyloredo sp. E88. RNAcentral describes it as "tRNA-Ala". The record is from RNAcentral. Lineage: Eukaryota; Metazoa; Mollusca; Bivalvia; Myida; Pholadidae. RNAcentral also lists the same sequence under 1 other name.